AUGGCACCCAUCAUUUUAUUAAUGAUUUCUCUAGCAAAGGGAUUGAAACUAUUGGAAACUAUAAAUAUACUGUCAAAUUUGUUUAAUGAAGCACGUCUAAUAGCAGCAGGUAAACGGAAGCCCAUUUUGAUGUUUCAAACUCAAAUUUAUGAAAAAUGUAUUUCAGUUUUGGUGCUUGAUUACGUGAAUGAGCUGUGA
Molecule: non-coding RNA, 198 nt
Organism: Vicia faba (fava bean)
Lineage: Eukaryota; Viridiplantae; Streptophyta; Magnoliopsida; Fabales; Fabaceae
Source: the annotation of a GenBank genome assembly